Long non-coding RNA from Cydia fagiglandana, 527 nucleotides. RefSeq lists it as uncharacterized. The record is from RefSeq and is a predicted model, not a curated record. NCBI's taxonomy places the organism in Eukaryota, Metazoa, Arthropoda, Insecta, Lepidoptera, Tortricidae. The transcript is spliced from 3 exons.
AACUCCAAACCUCCUACAAAAUAUUUUCAAUCAAUCCCUGAAAAUAGUAUUUUAUGAUCUUCAUUCACAACACGCUUCUAAAUCGCAUAAUAUAUCUUUGGCAGCCGUUUAAAUUCACUUGAACUCUAAUUUCAGUAAACUACGGAGAAAUUCGAACACUUUCCCUACACUACGUGUCGAACAAUUUUGUAAUAUUUUGUAGAUUUUGAGUGUUGAAAGGUAAUGUAAUCGUAAACAUUGCUAAAUAUUCAUGCAUUAUUGUGUAUGACCAGAAUUAUAAUGUGGGUUGACAUUAUCCCAUGGCCUUAUUAGAGUUUCACUGUGCGGGAGCUAUUCUUCCCAUGACCCGGUAAAUUGUCAUGUCAUGUCAUAAAAACUCACGUAACGAUUCAGUGAUUGAUAUAAUGUUUCGUAGUAGAUUUGGAGUUAAUCCCUGACUAUGAUAACCGAUAUAAGAUGUGGCAGGAAUAUAUAUCUCUUCGCCUGAUCAAGAAUAUAAUAAGACAAAAUCGAGUAUGAUAGUUAAU